Molecule: ribosomal RNA, 466 nt
Filed under: uncultured bacterium
Lineage: Bacteria
Description: partial 16S ribosomal RNA
Rfam family: Bacterial small subunit ribosomal RNA
Source: RNAcentral
ACGAACGCUGGCGGCGUGCUUAACACAUGCAAGUCGAACGGAAAGACCCUGCUUUUGUGGGUGCUCGAGUGGCGAACGGGUGAGUAACACGUGAGUAACCUGCCCUUGACUUUGGGAUAACUUCAGGAAACUGGGGCUAAUACCGGAUAGGAGCUCCUGCUGCAUGGUGGGGGUUGGAAAGUUUCGGCGGUUGGGGAUGGACUCGCGGCUUAUCAGCUUGUUGGUGGGGUAGUGGCUUACCAAGGCUUUGACGGGUAGCCGGCCUGAGAGGGUGACCGGCCACAUUGGGACUGAGAUACGGCCCAGACUCCUACGGGAGGCAGCAGUGGGGAAUAUUGCACAAUGGGCGGAAGCCUGAUGCAGCAACGCCGCGUGCGGGAUGACGGCCUUCGGGUUGUAAACCGCUUUCGCCUGUGACGAAGCGUGAGUGACGGUAAUGGGUAAAGAAGCACCGGCUAACUACGUG